This 776-nucleotide long non-coding RNA is filed under the name Vigna radiata. Its description in RNAcentral is "long non-coding RNA (VRAD_LNC016410)". The record is from RNAcentral. Lineage: Eukaryota; Viridiplantae; Streptophyta; Magnoliopsida; Fabales; Fabaceae.
AUUACACCAAUUAAGUUAAUUCAGUUAAAUUGACAUUAAUGUAGUUUGGUGAUAUGACGAAGAAGUUUUUAUUUUGGAAAAUGAUAUGUAGACAACAGAUUCAGACAACAUUUAGACACGCCACAGGUGUCACACAACCAUUGGUCCACGUGGCAAGGAGAGAGAAAUCUGUUGCUUUCUGAAGAUUGCCUCAGAUCUUGACGCGUGGCAGAGAGAGGAAAGUGAAUUUGGUUCUGAAAUUUGAAUCUGUGUAGGGUUUUCGUUUCAAAUUUGGGAUUCCCAUUUUCGAACCCCUCCCAUUUCGUCACACCCAUUUCGAACUCCUUCCAUUUCGUCACCAACCUCGGACCAUCUCCUGCUCGCCGGAAAGACUGCCGCCGCAGUCCGGUUGUCCGUCACCGUCCGCAUCACCGCCGGGAAGCUUCGCUUCCAUUUGGUUGAAGGUAAAUCCCCUAAACCCUAGUCCUGGUGAGUUGGUUGGGUACCAUUUUGAGUUUGUCGAUUUGGUUUUUUGAGUUGUGCUUAAUGUUUUUUGAGGCAUGUGCUUAAUGCAAAAAUUUUGUUUUCAUGUUNUUUGUGUUCUCUGUUUCGUGAAUGUUGGGGUUUGAUUCAACACGCACCUUGUAAUGUUAUAUUAUUUUGGUUUGAUAAGACAAUGAACCCCUCUAUGCAAAACUCGUAACACAAGUACCCACUUAUUCGAACUAUAGUCCCAGUUGAUUUUAUAAAAUUACUUAUGUUGUUUAACAUGAUAAGUUGGGGGCUUGGGUUCAUAU